Molecule: long non-coding RNA, 535 nt
Organism: Esox lucius (northern pike)
Lineage: Eukaryota; Metazoa; Chordata; Actinopteri; Esociformes; Esocidae
Source: Ensembl
CAGAAGGUGUUGUACCUCUAUGGAAACGUCACCUAUAGACUUACAUUUGAGGUCAUCCCAGAGGUCAUCCAAGUGACUGAAGACUGUGGUCUGUGUUGGAUUCUGAUGUUCAGUCUGUGUCCUGUGUCUGUUCUCCUCUCUUCUCUCCUCUCCUCCUUCUGUGUUUACUCCUUCUGCAGAAAAACAGCUCCAAAUGAGACUUCAGUUCCUCUGAACAGGACGUCGACUAGGGGAAGUGACAGUAGAGAGAAGGAGGAAGAAGACCUGUGUUAUGCCUCAUUGGACAUCCGUCAAGGACAGAAGAGACCAAAGAAGAAGAAUAAAAUCCAGAACUCUGACUUCAGUACCUACUCAGCCAUCAAUACCAUGAGAGUGUGACCUACACCAGCCAUCAAUUCCAUGAGAGUGUGACCUACACCAGCCAUCAAUACCAUGAGAGUGUGACCUAUACCAGCCACAAUACCAGCAGACUGUGACAUAUACUAGCCAUCAAUACCAGCAGACUGUGACCUAUACCUGCAUCCAAUACCAGCAG